AACAGGAUUAGAUACCCUGGUAGUCCACGCUGUAAACGAUGUCGACUUGGAGGUUGUGCCCUUGAGGCGUGGCUUCCGGAGCUAACGCGUUAAGUCGACCGCCUGGGGAGUACGGCCGCAAGGUUAAAACUCAAAUGAAUUGACGGGGGCCCGCACAAGCGGUGGAGCAUGUGGUUUAAUUCGAUGCAACGCGAAGAACCUUACCAACUCUUGACAUCCAGAGAAUUUGCUAGAGAUAGCUUAGUGCCUUCGGGAACUCUGAGACAGGUGCUGCAUGGCUGUCGUCAGCUCGUGUUGUGAAAUGUUGGGUUAAGUCCCGCAACGAGCGCAACCCUUAUCCUUUGUUGCCAGCACGUAAUGGUGGGAACUCAAAGGAGACUGCCGGUGAUAAACCGGAGGAAGGUGGGGAUGACGUCAAGUCAUCAUGGCCCUUACGAGUAGGGCUACACACGUGCUACAAUGGCAUAUACAAAGAGAAGCGAACUCGCGAGAGCAAGCGGACCUCAUAAAGUAUGUCGUAGUCCGGAUUGGAGUCUGCAACUCGACUCCAUGAAGUCGGAAUCGCUAGUAAUCGUAGAUCAGAAUGCUACGGUGAAUACGUUCCCGGGCCUUGUACACACCGCCCGUCACACCAUGGGAGUGGGUUGCAAAAGAAGUAGGUAGCUUAACCUUCGGGAGGGCGCUUACCACUUUGUGAUUCAUGACUGGGGUGAAGUCGUAACAAGGUAACC
RNAcentral lists this ribosomal RNA (731 nucleotides) under uncultured bacterium. Its description in RNAcentral is "bacterial SSU rRNA". It matches the Rfam family "Bacterial small subunit ribosomal RNA", at positions 771 to 1501 of the family's 1533-position model. The record is from RNAcentral.